ACUCCUACGGGAGGCAGCAGUGGGAAUAUUGGACAAUGGGCGCAAGCCUGAUCCAGCCAUGCCGCGUGUGUGAAGAAGGCCCUCGGGUUGUAAAGCACUUUCAGUGAGGAAGAAAGCUUGUCGGUUAAUACCCGGCAAGGACGACAUCACUCACAGAAGAAGCACCGGCUAACUCCGUGCCAGCAGCCGCGGUAAUACGGAGGGUGCGAGCGUUAAUCGGAAUUACUGGGCGUAAAGCGUGCGUAGGCGGCUUGGUAAGCCGGUUGUGAAAGCCCGCGCUAACCUGGGAACGGCAUCCGGAACUGUCAGGCUAGAGUGCAGGAGAGGAAGGUAGAAUUCCCGGUGUAGCGGUGAAAUGCGUAGAGAUCGGGAGGAAUACCAGUGGCGAAGGCGGCCUUCUGGACUGACACUGACGCUGAGGUACGAAAGCGUGGGUAGCAAACAGGAUUAGAUACUCUGGUAGGCUCUGCU
This 471-nucleotide ribosomal RNA is filed under the name uncultured bacterium. RNAcentral's name for it is "bacterial SSU rRNA". It matches the Rfam family "Bacterial small subunit ribosomal RNA", at positions 335 to 801 of the family's 1533-position model. The record is from RNAcentral.